AUAGAAAAACAAAACAAGUAAAUUUGCAAAUGGAUAAUGAGAGUUUUCUAGAUUUGAUGGCGAGAACAAAUGCAGUGUUUAAUUUAAGUGAAGCUGAUCAUUUAAUCUCUCCACACGAGUCCGAGAGUGAUGAAACUGAUGGUGAAGAUGGAGACAAUCCCAAUUCAGAUUCAGCAAGUUCUGAAGGUGAAGAAGGAGACAAUCCAAGCACAGCAGUCAGCACACAUGUACCUACUGCCCCAUGGUUUUCAACGGAGGCUUUUACCUACAACAAUGUCACUGAUAAUUCAGGAAAUUGUAGAUAAAUAAAGAAAGAAGAGAAAAUGCAAGAAAAAGAAGAAAAAGAAAAAGGGUUGGCAAGUAAAGGACACAUGGAUGGCCACAAUUCUCCCAACACUCAAGGCACAUGGAUGGUCAAGAUGGAGCCACCCUACCCCUAAACCCUAAUUCUUUAGUUAUAAAUACCCCUCUUCUUUUACUUGUAAUCACCAACCUAGCAACCCUAGCCACCUACCCACCUUUUCUACCUAGUCAUUUCUAUAGUUAGUAUCUUAGAUAGAUUUACAUUUUGCUAGCCCCAAUUUCCUUUCCAAGCUUGUAUACACUCUUUAAUUUCUAUGCAAAUCUCUUUUAUCUUAA
Molecule: long non-coding RNA, 639 nt
Organism: Daucus carota subsp. sativus
Lineage: Eukaryota; Viridiplantae; Streptophyta; Magnoliopsida; Apiales; Apiaceae
Exons: 2
Source: RefSeq, a predicted model, not a curated record